UUGACCUCGGAUCAGGUAGGACUACCCGCUGAACU
This 35-nucleotide ribosomal RNA is filed under the name Cordyceps cicadae. RNAcentral's name for it is "partial 28S ribosomal RNA". Lineage: Eukaryota; Fungi; Ascomycota; Sordariomycetes; Hypocreales; Cordycipitaceae. The record is from RNAcentral.